This 2694-nucleotide ribosomal RNA is filed under the name Cronobacter sakazakii. Its description in RNAcentral is "23S ribosomal RNA". It matches the Rfam family "Bacterial large subunit ribosomal RNA". The record is from RNAcentral. Lineage: Bacteria; Pseudomonadati; Pseudomonadota; Gammaproteobacteria; Enterobacterales; Enterobacteriaceae.
GGGUUGUGAGGUUAAGCGAACAAGCGUACACGGUGGAUGCCCUGGCAGUCAGAGGCGAUGAAGGACGUGCUAAUCUGCGAAAAGCGCCGGUAAGGUGAUAUGAACCGUUAUAACCGGCGAUGUCCGAAUGGGGAAACCCGGUGCACUUCGGUGCAUCAUCGUUAGCUGAAUACAUAGGCUAACGAGGCGAACCGGGGGAACUGAAACAUCUAAGUACCCCGAGGAAAAGAAAUCAACCGAGAUUCCCCCAGUAGCGGCGAGCGAACGGGGAACAGCCCAGAGCCUGAAUCAGCUUGUGUGUCAGUGGAACGGUCUGGAAAGGCCGGCGAUACAGGGUGACAGCCCCGUACACGAAGGCACACAGGCUGUGAGCUCGAUGAGUAGGGCGGGACACGUGAUAUCCUGUCUGAAGAUGGGGGGACCAUCCUCCAAGGCUAAAUACUCCUGACUGACCGAUAGUGAACCAGUACCGUGAGGGAAAGGCGAAAAGAACCCCGGCGAGGGGAGUGAAACAGAACCUGAAACCGUGUACGUACAAGCAGUGGGAGCCUUCGUAAGAGGGUGACUGCGUACCUUUUGUAUAAUGGGUCAGCGACUUAUAUUCUGUAGCAAGGUUAACCGUAUAGGGGAGCCGAAGGGAAACCGAGUCUUAACCGGGCGUUAAGUUGCAGGGUAUAGACCCGAAACCCGGUGAUCUAGCCAUGGGCAGGUUGAAGGUUGGGUAACACUAACUGGAGGACCGAACCGACUAAUGUUGAAAAAUUAGCGGAUGACCUGUGGCUGGGGGUGAAAGGCCAAUCAAACCGGGAGAUAGCUGGUUCUCCCCGAAAGCUAUUUAGGUAGCGCCUCGUGAACUCAUCUCCGGGGGUAGAGCACUGUUUCGGCUAGGGGGCCAUCCCGGCUUACCAACCCGAUGCAAACUGCGAAUACCGGAGAAUGUUAUCACGGGAGACACACGGCGGGUGCUAACGUCCGUCGUGAAGAGGGAAACAACCCAGACCGCCAGCUAAGGUCCCAAAGUCAUGGUUAAGUGGGAAACGAUGUGGGAAGGCCCAGACAGCCAGGAUGUUGGCUUAGAAGCAGCCAUCAUUUAAAGAAAGCGUAAUAGCUCACUGGUCGAGUCGGCCUGCGCGGAAGAUGUAACGGGGCUAAACCAUGCACCGAAGCUGCGGCAGCGACACUGUGUGNNNNNNNNNNNNNNNNNNNNNNNNNNNNNNNNNNNNNNNNNNNNNNNNNNNNNNNNNNNNNNNNNNNNNNNNNNNNNNNNNNNNNNNNGAAGGUUAAGGCUGAGGCGUGAUGACGAGGCACCACGGUGCUGAAGUGACAAAUGCCCUGCUUCCAGGAAAAGCCUCUAAGCAUCAGGUAACAUCAAAUCGUACCCCAAACCGACACAGGUGGUCAGGUAGAGAAUACCAAGGCGCUUGAGAGAACUCGGGUGAAGGAACUAGGCAAAAUGGUGCCGUAACUUCGGGAGAAGGCACGCUGACAUGUAGGUGAAGCCCCUGCGGGUGGAGCUGAAGUCAGUCGAAGAUACCAGCUGGCUGCAACUGUUUAUUAAAAACACAGCACUGUGCAAACACGAAAGUGGACGUAUACGGUGUGACGCCUGCCCGGUGCCGGAAGGUUAAUUGAUGGGGUUAUCGCAAGAGAAGCUCCUGAUCGAAGCCCCGGUAAACGGCGGCCGUAACUAUAACGGUCCUAAGGUAGCGAAAUUCCUUGUCGGGUAAGUUCCGACCUGCACGAAUGGCGUAAUGAUGGCCAGGCUGUCUCCACCCGAGACUCAGUGAAAUUGAACUCGCUGUGAAGAUGCAGUGUACCCGCGGCAAGACGGAAAGACCCCGUGAACCUUUACUACAGCUUGACACUGAACAUUGAGCCUUGAUGUGUAGGAUAGGUGGGAGGCUUUGAAGCGUGGACGCCAGUCUGCGUGGAGCCGACCUUGAAAUACCACCCUUUAAUGUUUGAUGUUCUAACCUGGCGCCGUGAUCCGGCGUGGGGACAGUGUCUGGUGGGUAGUUUGACUGGGGCGGUCUCCUCCCAAAGUGUAACGGAGGAGCACGAAGGUCAGCUAAUCCUGGUCGGACAUCAGGAGGUUAGUGCAAUGGCAUAAGCUGGCUUGACUGCGAGAGUGACGGCUCGAGCAGGUGCGAAAGCAGGUCAUAGUGAUCCGGUGGUUCUGUAUGGAAGGGCCAUCGCUCAACGGAUAAAAGGUACUCCGGGGAUAACAGGCUGAUACCGCCCAAGAGUUCAUAUCGACGGCGGUGUUUGGCACCUCGAUGUCGGCUCAUCACAUCCUGGGGCUGAAGUAGGUCCCAAGGGUAUGGCUGUUCGCCAUUUAAAGUGGUACGCGAGCUGGGUUUAGAACGUCGUGAGACAGUUCGGUCCCUAUCUGCCGUGGGCGCUGGAGAAUUGAGGGGGGCUGCUCCCAGUACGAGAGGACCGGAGUGGACGCAUCACUGGUGUUCGGGUUGUCAUGCCAAUGGCACUGCCCGGUAGCUAAAUGCGGAAGAGAUAAGUGCUGAAAGCAUCUAAGCACGAAACUUGCCCCGAGAUGAGUUCUCCCUGAGACUGUAAGUCUCCUGAAGGAACGUUGAAGACGACGACGUUGAUAGGCCGGGUGUGUAAGCGCAGCGAUGCGUUGAGCUAACCGGUACUAAUGAACCGUGAGGCUUAACCUUACAACGCCAAAGAAGU